Molecule: long non-coding RNA, 635 nt
Filed under: Olea europaea subsp. europaea
Lineage: Eukaryota; Viridiplantae; Streptophyta; Magnoliopsida; Lamiales; Oleaceae
Source: RNAcentral
CUAGUAGGUGAUGGCGUUGCUCGUAUUCAUGGUCUUGAUGAAGUAAUGGUGGGUGAAUUAGUAGAAUUUGAAGAAGGUACAAUAUGUAUUGCUUUGAAUUUGGAAUCAAUAAUGUUGGCGUUGUAUUAAUGGGUGAUGGUUUAAUGUUACAAGAAGGAAGUUCUGUAAAAGCAACAGGAAGAACUGCUCAGAUACCAGUGAGCGAAGCCUAUUUAGGUUUUUCUCGCUCUAUCUCAGAGUAUCCAUUCACCUGAAACUAAUCUGCUUCCAUUUCCACUUUCCGUAAGCGAGCUCGGGCUUUUUUCAGCUGUUCAAUGGCCCCCCACGCAGUUCUUCUAAAUUUCGAAUAGUAUUUAAGAUCCUCCGUUUUCGAUUAUCUAAUAAAUCACUUAAUGAAAGUAGAUUAUCUUUCCAUUCAAUAUGGGACGCUUUAGUAUUUUUUUCCAUUCAUCCUCAUCCAAUCAAAAAAGACUUUUGGGGAGUUUGGUAAAUUCAUUUCUGGAAUCAUAAGAUAAACAUAUUUUUUUGAUCAAUUAUUUGAUAAUUAUUAGUAACAAUCUGAGUAUUUUGAUUAUUACUGGCAUCGAUCGUGAUCCAAGCCCCAAUAUCGACUUUUUGACUUUUGAAAAUAUCAA